CCUACGGGAUGCACCAGUGGGGAAUAUUGCACAAUGGGCGCAAGCCUGAUGCAGCCAUGCCGCGUGUAUGAAGAAGGCCUUAGGGUUGUAAAGUACUUUCAGUUGGGAGGAAGGCGUUGAUGCUAAUAUCAUCAACGAUUGACGUACCAACAGAAGAAGCACCGGCUAACUCCGUGCCAGCAGCCGCGGUAAUACGGAGGGUGCAAGCGUUAAUCGGAAUUACUGGGCGUAAAGCGCACGCAGGCGGUUGAUUAAGUUAGAUGUGAAAUCCCCGGGCUUAACCUGGGAAUGGCAUCUAAGACUGGUCAGCUAGAGUCUUGUAGAGGGGGGUAGAAUUCCAUGUGUAGCGGUGAAAUGCGUAGAGAUGUGGAGGAAUACCGGUGGCGAAGGCGGCCCCCUGGACAAAGACUGACGCUCAGGUGCGAAAGCGUGGGGAGCAAACAGGAUUAGAUACCCUUGUAGUC
Molecule: ribosomal RNA, 464 nt
Filed under: uncultured bacterium
Lineage: Bacteria
Description: bacterial SSU rRNA
Rfam family: Bacterial small subunit ribosomal RNA
Source: RNAcentral